RNAcentral lists this ribosomal RNA (504 nucleotides) under uncultured bacterium. RNAcentral describes it as "partial 16S ribosomal RNA". It matches the Rfam family "Bacterial small subunit ribosomal RNA", at positions 28 to 523 of the family's 1533-position model. The record is from RNAcentral.
GAUGAACGCUAGCGGCAGGCCUAAUACAUGCAAGUCGAACGGGAUCUGAGGGUAGCUUGCUACCCGAUUUGAGAGUGGCGCACGGGUGCGUAACGCGUGAGCAACCUACCCAUAUCAGGGGGAUAGCCCGGAGAAAUUCGGAUUAACACCGCAUAAGAAUGUAUUAACACAUGUUAAAGCAUUUAAAUAUUUAUAGGAUAUGGAUGGGCUCGCGUGACAUUAGCUAGUUGGUGAGGUAACGGCUCACCAAGGCGACGAUGUCUAGGGGCUCUGAGAGGAGAAUCCCCCACACUGGUACUGGGACACGGACCAGACUCCUACGGGAGGCAGCAGUAAGGAAUAUUGGUCAAUGGGCGGAAGCCUGAACCAGCCAUGCCGCGCGCAGGACGACUGCCCUAUGGGUUGUAAACUGCUUUUGUCGAGGAAUAAACCUAUCUACGUGUAGAUAGUUGAACGUACUCGAAGAAUAAGGAUCGGCUAACUCCGUGCCAGCCGCCGCCGUAA